RNAcentral lists this ribosomal RNA (564 nucleotides) under uncultured bacterium. Its description in RNAcentral is "partial 16S ribosomal RNA". It matches the Rfam family "Bacterial small subunit ribosomal RNA", at positions 355 to 1376 of the family's 1533-position model. The record is from RNAcentral.
UGGGGAAUAUUGGACAAUGGGCGAAAGCCUGAUCCAGCCAUGCCGCGUGAGUGAUGAAGGCCCUAGGGUUGUAAAGCUCUUUUGUGCGGGAAGAUAAUGACGGUACCGCAAGAAUAAGCCCCGGCUAACUUCGUGCCAGCAGCCGCGGUAAUACGAAGGGGGCUAGCGUUGCUCGGAAUCACUGGGCGUAAAGGGUGCGUAGGCGGGUUUCUAAGUCAGAGGUGAAAGCCUGGAGCUCAACUCCAGAACUGCCUUUGAUACUGGAAGUCUUGAGUUCGGGAGAGGUGAGUGGAACUGCGAGUGUAGAGGUGAAAUUCGUAGAUAUUCGCAAGAACACCAGUGGCGAAGGCGGCUCACUGGCCCGAUACUGACGCUGAGGCACGAAAGCGUGGGGAGCAAAACAGGAUUAGAUACCCUGGUAGUCCACGCCGUAAACGAUGAAUGCCAGCCGUUAGUGGGUUUUACUCACUAGUGGCGCAGCUAACGCUUUUAAGCAUUCCGCCUGGGGAGUACGGUCGCAAGAUUAAAACUUAAAUGAAUUGACGGGGUCAUAGCUGUUUCCUG